Molecule: non-coding RNA, 29 nt
Filed under: Rattus norvegicus (Norway rat)
Lineage: Eukaryota; Metazoa; Chordata; Mammalia; Rodentia; Muridae
Source: RNAcentral
UACCCCUGCAAAGGACUGUCUUUUUAUCU